AAAUUGAAGAGUUUGAUCAUGGCUCAGAUUGAACGCUGGCGGCAGGCCUAACACAUGCAAGUCGAGCGGUAGCACAGAGAGCUUGCUCUCGGGUGACGAGCGGCGGACGGGUGAGUAAUGUCUGGGAAACUGCCUGAUGGAGGGGGAUAACUACUGGAAACGGUAGCUAAUACCGCAUAACGUCGCAAGACCAAAGUGGGGGACCUUCGGGCCUCAUGCCAUCAGAUGUGCCCAGAUGGGAUUAGCUAGUAGGUGGGGUAACGGCUCACCUAGGCGACGAUCCCUAGCUGGUCUGAGAGGAUGACCAGCCACACUG
This 316-nucleotide ribosomal RNA is filed under the name Pseudomonas aeruginosa. Its description in RNAcentral is "bacterial SSU rRNA". It matches the Rfam family "Bacterial small subunit ribosomal RNA", at positions 1 to 315 of the family's 1533-position model. The record is from RNAcentral. RNAcentral also lists the same sequence under 2 other names. Lineage: Bacteria; Pseudomonadati; Pseudomonadota; Gammaproteobacteria; Pseudomonadales; Pseudomonadaceae.